CGGAACCCGAACGGAAGCGGGCUCGCACCGACGAGGUGCCUGCCGGAGGAAGCCGCUCCGAGACGGAGGAUGAGGACGACGAGGACUACGUGCCCUAUGUGCCGUUACGGCAGCGCCGGCAGCUACUGCUCCAGAAGCUGCUGCAGCGAAGACGCAAGGGAGCUGCGGAGGAAGAGCAGCAGGACAGCGGUAGUGAACCCCGGGGAGACGAGGACGACAUCCCGCUAGGCCCUCAGUCCAACGUCAGCCUCCUGGAUCAGCACCAGCACCUUAAAGAGAAGGCUGAAGCCCGCAAAGAGUCUGCCAAGGAGAAGCAGCUGAAGGAAGAAGAGAAGAUCCUGGAGAGUGUGGCCGAGGGCCGAGGUAUGGUUGUAGCCAGGAUAGUGAGAAGGUGGACUGAGUCUCCUCCUCCCAGGCCCAGGCAUGUUAUAUCUCAAGGGAUCUGGCUUCUCAGAAGCAGGAGCCAGCCCUGAACCAUGUCUUUCUUCUCAGCAUUGAUGUCAGUGAAGGAGAUGGCUAAGGGCAUUACGUAUGAUGACCCCAUCAAAACCAGCUGGACUCCGCCCCGUUAUGUCCUGAACAUGUCUGAAGAGCGACAUGAGCGCGUGCGGAAGAAAUACCACAUCCUGGUGGAGGGAGACGGUAUCCCACCACCCAUCAAGAGCUUCAAGGAAAUGAAAUUUCCUGCAGCCAUCCUGAGAGGCCUGAAGAAGAAAGGCAUUCACCACCCAACACCCAUUCAGAUCCAGGGCAUCCCCACCAUUCUAUCUGGCCGUGACAUGAUAGGCAUCGCCUUCACGGGUUCAGGCAAGACACUGGUGUUCACGUUGCCUGUCAUCAUGUUCUGCCUGGAACAAGAGAAGAGGUUACCUUUCUCAAAGCGCGAAGGGCCCUAUGGACUCAU
RNAcentral lists this small RNA (904 nucleotides) under Pongo abelii (Sumatran orangutan). Its description in RNAcentral is "retained intron". The record is from RNAcentral. Lineage: Eukaryota; Metazoa; Chordata; Mammalia; Primates; Hominidae.